This is a non-coding RNA of Camelina sativa (false flax), 114 nucleotides long. Lineage: Eukaryota; Viridiplantae; Streptophyta; Magnoliopsida; Brassicales; Brassicaceae. The record is from RefSeq and is a predicted model, not a curated record.
UAAUGAUAUAAGAGUGGAGGUCGACAACAUAAACUUGACUGUGACAGGUAGACGCACAUCUAUCUGUCAAAGAGUUGAUGCAGGAACUAAAGCUUCAAUCCUUGGAUAUCAUAA